Molecule: long non-coding RNA, 981 nt
Organism: Mesoplodon densirostris (Blainville's beaked whale)
Lineage: Eukaryota; Metazoa; Chordata; Mammalia; Artiodactyla; Ziphiidae
Exons: 3
Source: RefSeq, a predicted model, not a curated record
GGGAUUUUGGAGAUCAACAUCCCACCAGCUGGGGACGAUAAAGAUUCCAUCCCUGUUGGCUGCUGGGAUGGAGGUGGACAGCGGUGAAAGUAGGCAGGAAGGCUGUUAGAACUAGAAGAGGAGCUUUUCCAAAGGCACGGAUGCCCCUUUCCUGGCUGGGAAGCAUGAUCAUCACUAUCUAGCUUUAUCAACUGGCCCUUCUCUUGAAUUGGAAAAAUCACCUAGGUAACAUAUUACUUAUAGUUGUUUCUGAAGAGAUCUUGGCGCAAACUCCUGCAGUGUGUCGAACCCCAUCGUCACACUGUGCACUGUGGAUCCAGGCCAUGCCAGAGGGCGAAUGCUGACUCACAAAGGGAAACCAAGAGAACUGCCAGCCUCAAGUCAGCUGUGAACGUGCUUUUCCUCAGUCCCGCGCGCCCAGGACCCGGAGGCUCAGGCAGCUAGUGAGGCUUCUUCUCUGCGUGUCAGUCAGAGGAAGGGCACAGGGACACCUCGCAGCCUGACCUCCACCACCACUGAGUCACAUUCACUCAACACGUGAAAAUCCAAUGGAAAUAAUAAAUGGGUGAUAGAACCUUUUACAAGAAAUAGAAAAUCUAGCAGGACUUUUGAGGAUGGUAGGAAAACGAGCUCUCGGAUAACGUGGUUUAUGUUCCUUUCCCUUUUGUUUUUGUUGCAGUUUUCUUUUUUCUGCCUUAGGAGGCAUUUGUGAUUUGUAUGUUCUGUAGAAAAGAGGAGCAUGGAAAUUCUAAAUAUGUUCCAGGAAUUUUCAGUGUCACUAUUUCUGAAAAACGGAAGCCAGUUUUUAAAAAUGGUAAAUGGUGCUCAAGUCACAUUCUGCUUUAAAAGUUUGUAACAAAUACAGACGAAUUGAAAAGAAAAAAAAAGAUAAAUGCAGUACAUGCAUUAAAAAAUUUCAAAUAGUUGAGAAGGAUAUAAAAGAUGAAAAUAAAUUUUUCUUUUAUGCCUCCUCUACCUAAA